UUGUGUUUUGUUUGUAUAGCCACAAAUUCAAAUUUGAUGAUAGACUGUGAUGGUCUCUAUAUCUGGACUUCCAUGUAGCCUUGGUUAGUAUUUUUCUAUGGUUUAUCUUAGAUUUAUAACGUAGUCGGGGCAUUUGUAAGAAGGAUAUUACAUGAUCUCGAUGAUGAUGAUGAUGAUGAUGAUGAAUGCAAAAGGCAGCAUGAGUUGACAGCUUUCCCGAGCUAGUGACAGGUCAUCACAUGGUAUGA
This 248-nucleotide long non-coding RNA is filed under the name Elaeis guineensis (African oil palm). RNAcentral's name for it is "long non-coding RNA (EGUI_LNC000861)". Lineage: Eukaryota; Viridiplantae; Streptophyta; Magnoliopsida; Arecales; Arecaceae. The record is from RNAcentral.